CUUGCUUGUUGUAGAAAAGGCGCAAACUGUUGAGGCGUUUGUAAACGACAAGAAGACCACAAUGAAGUAAUGCUUUGACGUGGAUAUAGUCCUUUAAAGUUGUCUAAGGUUUAACAACAUCGAUCCAAACUUGAUUUAAAAGCACAGUCUUUAAAAAUCCAGGUAAUUGAAUCUUCUUGGCGUCAGCUGGCGUCAGACACUUGGAAACGUUCCCGCCGGUUUCAAAAGCAUGAUCGGCCAUGAACCCAAACACAGUACGAGUAGUUCCCACACAACGCAGCAUUCAUGCUGCAGAUGUGUUUGCUUCAAAUCAUCGCUUUCAGAAACAGAUCUUCAAUAGCUGUCAUCUACAUCUCAAACAUCCCAGGGCGGAUACAAAAAAAAUCUGGAUCACGCUAGUCCAUACUGUACGUCCCAGAAAACCAGAGGGACUUGGCCAGUAAGCUUGUUUGACUCAAAGGAGCUGAAGCAUGCCGGUCAGAUGGAGUCUGUGGUUAAGGGCUCUUCUCUGGGGAGGAGACGGUGUUGACAGAUCAGACAGGAGAAAGUGGUGCUGGUUGUAGGAAACCACUGCUAAUGUCCCAUGCUGUGUGUGUUUGGCUGUUUUAUUUAUUGUGUUUGGUGCAUUACUUAGGCUGUCACCAAAUUCGGUUAUCUAAAUGUUUAUGAUGCACUUUAGGGGUGAAACAUUGAUUGACUGAUGCAUCCUGAUUCUCAUUUUAUAUAUUAUAUGCAAAAAUAUACAGGAAACAAAUGCAUGUAAACCAAUAAAAAUGAGAUCAUU
Molecule: long non-coding RNA, 784 nt
Organism: Labeo rohita (rohu)
Lineage: Eukaryota; Metazoa; Chordata; Actinopteri; Cypriniformes; Cyprinidae
Exons: 3
Source: RefSeq, a predicted model, not a curated record